Small nuclear RNA from Erinaceus europaeus (western European hedgehog), 107 nucleotides. The record is from Ensembl. NCBI's taxonomy places the organism in Eukaryota, Metazoa, Chordata, Mammalia, Eulipotyphla, Erinaceidae.
GUACUCUCUUUGGCAGCAUAUUUACUAUAGUUGGAAGGAUGCAGAGAAGAUUUGCAGGACACCUUUACAAGGACAGCAUGCAAAUCCAUAAAUCCUUCCAUAUGUUA